GUGCCAGCAGCCGCGGGUAAUACGGAGGAUGCAAGCGUUAUCCGGAUUUAUUGGGUUUAAAGGGUGCGCAGGCGGCGCGUUAAGUCAGCGGUGAAAUGUCCCGGCUCAACCGGGGCACUGCCGUUGAUACUGGCGUGCUGGAGUACGGACGGCGCCGGCGGAAUGUGCAGUGUAGCGGUGACAUGCUUAGAUAUUGCACAGAACACCGAUCGCGAAGGCAGCUGGCGAGGCCGGUACUGACGCUCAGGCACGAAAGCGUGGGGAGCAAACAGGAUUAGAUACCCUGGUAGUCCACGCAGUAAACGAUGAUGACUUGUUGUCGGCGAUAGAAUGUCGGUGACAAAGCGAAAGCGAUAAGUCAUCCACCUGGGGAGUACGAUCGCAAGGUUGAAACUCAAAGGAAUUGACGGGGGCCCGCACAAGCGGAGGAGCAUGUGGUUUAAUUCGAUGAUACGCGAGGAACCUUACCUGGACUCAAAUGUUGAGCGACCGUUCCAGAAAUGGGACUUUCCUUCGGGACGCUUAGCAAGGUGCUGCAUGGUUGUCGUCAGCUCGUGCCGUGAGGUGUCAGGUUAAGUCCUAUAACGAGCGCAACCCCUACGUCCAGUUGCCAGCGGGUGAAGCCGGGGACUCUGGAGGAACUGCCCACGCAAGUGGAGAGGAAGGUGGGGAUGACGUCAAAUCAGCACGGCCCUUACGUCCAGGGCGACACACGUGCUACAAUGGCCGGUACAGAGGGCAGCCACCCCGCGAGGGGGAGCGAAUCUCGAAAGCCGGUCUCAGUUCGGAUCGGAGUCUGCAACCCGACUCCGUGAAGUUGGAUUCGCUAGUAAUCGCGCAUCAGCCAUGGCGCGGUGAAUACGUUCCCGGGCCUUGUACACACCGCCCGU
Molecule: ribosomal RNA, 890 nt
Filed under: uncultured bacterium
Lineage: Bacteria
Description: bacterial SSU rRNA
Rfam family: Bacterial small subunit ribosomal RNA
Source: RNAcentral